ACGCUAGCGGGAGGCUUAAUACAUGCAAGUCGAGGGGCAGCAUAGGACUUCGGUUCUGAUGGCGACCGGCGCACGGGUGAGUAACGCGUACACUACCUACCUUUAACAGAGGGAUAGCCCUGGGAAACUGGGAUUAAUACCACAUAGUAUUGCAUAAUUUAUUUUUAUGCAAUUAAAGCUCCGGCGGUUAAAGAUGGGUGUGCGUUAGAUUAGCUAGUUGGUAAGGUAAUGGCUUACCAAGGCUACGAUCUAUAGGGGGCGUGAGAGCGUGGACCCCCACACGGGUACUGAGACACGGACCCGACUCCUACGGGAGGCAGCAGUAAGGAAUAUUGGACAAUGGGCGCAAGCCUGAUCCAGCCAUCCCGCGUGAAGGAUGACGGCCCUAUGGGUUGUAAACUUCUUUUAUUAGGGAAGAAACCUUUUCAUUUAUGAAGAGCUGACGGUACCUAAAGAAUAAGCACCGGC
RNAcentral lists this ribosomal RNA (468 nucleotides) under uncultured bacterium. RNAcentral describes it as "bacterial SSU rRNA". It matches the Rfam family "Bacterial small subunit ribosomal RNA", at positions 33 to 497 of the family's 1533-position model. The record is from RNAcentral.